This 494-nucleotide ribosomal RNA is filed under the name uncultured bacterium. Its description in RNAcentral is "partial 16S ribosomal RNA". It matches the Rfam family "Bacterial small subunit ribosomal RNA", at positions 28 to 504 of the family's 1533-position model. The record is from RNAcentral.
GAUGAACGCUGGCGGCGUGCCUAAUACAUGCAAGUCGAGCGAACGGACGAGAAGCUUGCUUCUCUGAUGUUAGCGGCGGACGGGUGAGUAACACGUGGAUAACCUACCUAUAAGACUGGGAUAACUUCGGGAAACCGGAGCUAAUACCGGAUGAUAUUUUGAACCGCAUGGUUCAAAAGUGAAAGACGGCCUUGCUGUCACUUAUAGAUGGAUCCGCGCUGCAUUAGCUAGUUGGUAAGGUAACGGCUUACCAAGGCAACGAUGCAUAGCCGACCUGAGAGGGUGAUCGGCCACACUGGAACUGAGACACGGUCCAGACUCCUACGGGAGGCAGCAGUAGGGAAUCUUCCGCAAUGGGCGAAAGCCUGACGGAGCAACGCCGCGGGAGUGAUGAAGGUCUUCGGAUCGUAAAACUCUGUUAUUAGGGAAGAACAUAUGUGUAAGGAACUGUGCACAUCUUGACGGUACCUAAUCAGAAAGCCACGGCUAACUAC